UACGGGGGGAGCAAGCGUUGUUCGGAUUUACUGGGCGUAAAGGGCGCGUAGGCGGUCAGUGCAAGUCAGUUGUGAAAUCUCCGGGCUUAACUCGGAAAGGUCAACUGAUACUGCUCGACUAGAGUGCGGAAGGGGCAACUGGAAUUCUUGGUGUAGCGGUGAAAUGCGUAGAUAUCAAGAGGAACACCUGCGGCGAAGGCGGGUUGCUGGGCCGACACUGACACUGAGAGACGAAAGCUAGGGGAGCGAAUGGG
RNAcentral lists this ribosomal RNA (254 nucleotides) under uncultured bacterium. RNAcentral's name for it is "partial 16S ribosomal RNA". It matches the Rfam family "Bacterial small subunit ribosomal RNA", at positions 524 to 776 of the family's 1533-position model. The record is from RNAcentral.